Molecule: long non-coding RNA, 3789 nt
Filed under: Felis catus (domestic cat)
Lineage: Eukaryota; Metazoa; Chordata; Mammalia; Carnivora; Felidae
Description: lncRNA (ENSFCAG00000049497.1)
Source: RNAcentral
AUGUUAUCUUGUCUCCCUGCCUCUGUCCCCAGGUCUCUGUUCUCUUCCAGACCCUUUUCUGGCUUUCUCUUCCCCUUGACCCCUUCCCCCAUCGCACACCGUGGGGAGAAGGGGGUGUGUCGCUGUUUUCUAUUUAUGGUCUCUCUGGGGAGGGGGUGCAGCGCUAGGACUUUUUUUGGCAUCUGCUGGGCCCUGAGUCACGAGGUGUCAUGUCUGUGUCUGAUAUCCAUGCCUGCUGCCACUCCCCUCUCCCAUCCUCUUCUGCCUCGCAUCCCCCUGUCCGCCUUUGUCUCCUUCCUGCCUCCCUUCCUGUCCUUCCCGCUCUGUUCUUUGGGCGCUUUGUGUAACUGCCGUCUCUUUGUCCCCGCCUCUCCGCUCUCUGCUCCCUCUGCUCCCUCUUCCAGCUCCGAGAAGCUGUCGACCUCAAGGGCAUCAAUAUUUCAGGGUGAUGAAACAAUCCAGUUGUGAUUCAGCCAGCUCAGAGCUCCCUAAGCCUGAAAAAGAGGCCCAGCCAGAUGUCGAGCCACACUCAACACCCCACUACAGGAGGCGGAGGCCAAGUUCAGAUCCGGAUGGGGGCUUGAGGCUGAGACUGAGCCCCUGGGGGCUGAAUCAGGGCCUGAGGCCAAGGCCAAGUCCUUGGGGGCCAACCCCAGGUCUGGAUCGGGGCCUGAGGCCACGGCCCAGCCAUUGGACUUCGUGGUGGCAACAGAACAGGACGGCACCGUGUGCUGGCCAAGCGAAACAGGAGUGAGGAGAGCCGGGGCCCAGGUGAAAAGGGGGUGAAGCUACGUUUGGGUGAGUGGACCUUAAGAAAGAGAGGAGGCGAGCCUCUCCCCCAGCCCCCGUCCGGAUGCUGAGGAGCCAGUCGGCCUUGGAACCAAAGAGUAGGAUGUGCGGAUCCAGGGCCCCAGCCAAUGAGGGUGGGAUGGAGACAACACGGGUAGCAGAGGAACCCGAGGGAGGGGCUGGUGAUAGCUUGGGUGUUUGAGCAUUCAUUUGGAGUUCCUGGGAGCAGGAGCACAAAAAGAAGAGAGCAGGCAAGAGAGGGUAGACCGGGGGUGAGAGCAAGAGUGGGGUCAGGACCCCCGAUAGACCGAACUCGCGUACGAAAAAGCACCUGGACGCGGUUAGCAGGACCAGCCCCUAGACGGGGUCCGGGGCGGAGCUAAGAAGAAGCAGGGCGUGGCAAGGCCCGGGGCGGGAGGGCAUAGCCAGCUCCUGGGGUGGAUCCAAGGGAAGGGGGCGUGGCCAGUGCUCAGGCACGGGGUGCACGCGGAGUUGGAGCAUCUCGAGAGGUGGACGAGAGCCCGGCGCAUGAGCUCCCUCUCUGCCGGCUCUGGAAUUCGAGACCCAAGUGCUGAGGAGAUCUGGGGCAGGCCCGGGCCUGGCCUGGCGCCCGGGGUGGUGACGACGGAGUGCUCAGCUUGUGGGAAGAGGCGAGCCCUGCGAGCCGAGAGUCCCGGCAGGGGCGGAGGGCCCCCUAACGGCCUGGGUCCGCCGAUCGCGCUGGAGUCGGCGCACGUGAUCGACUCCGGGGAGACAGCGCUGGUGGACGGGCUGUGCGUGGCUCCCCGGGAGCGCGGCAAGGGCGUGGCCGGGCUGCUGCGGCGCUUCUGCCCGCAGCUGGUCAAGACACAGAACCCGGGGGUCAAGGUGGCACGGCUCACCCGGGACGACCAAGUGGGCCCCCGGGAGCUCAAGAAACACGGCCUAAUCACCAAGCAGGAGCAUCCUUUGGGUCUGAGUCAAUGCCUCCGUGCUACUGGCGCGGCUGGGCGUGUGCAGCUGACGGCGCUGCGGGCCUCCGUCACCUCGCCGCUGCCCACCGAGACCGUGUCGGAGACUGGCGGCAACGUGGCCCGCCUCCUACUGUUGCCUUCCGUGCAGCGCGACGUUCACCCAGGACUGGCAGCCCUACCGGCCACGUGAGAGCAACCUGCGCCUGCUGGUGGCCAAGGGCCUGGAGUGGCACGUAGACAGCUCCGCGCGCCCGCGUUUACCCACGCUGUGCACGCUCCCCUUCCCCAUCCUGCACGGCGGUGACGGCACGUGGCGCUACCUCAACGUCGACGCCGUGCGCAGCGCUGGUGCGCAGGCGCAGAGCCGGCUUCUGCGGCACCUCUAGGGCCAGGCCCCGCGCCUCGCCGGUCUCAACGCCAUGCGCCAGCUUUUCCUGGCGUCCCAGUUAUGGUCGCAGCUGGCUGACCUCUGCCAGGCCGGCUUGGGGCUCGAGCUGGUCAAGGGUUACACAGAACAGUACCCGCUGGAGGCCGACAUCUAGGGCCUCUCCUCUCGGAGGCGAGAGGAGCAUUUAGAUCCGUCCAUUUUCGCUGCUCUCCAGAAAGCCCCGCCCCCCAGUGUUUGCAAGCUCCGCCCCCUCCCCCUACUCUCCGUGGUCUGCUGGGAAGCCUGCUUACCCUUACCGGAGCCCCCCCCCCCCCUUUUAGCCUUGCCUCUCUGCCAUCUCGCCUCUAGCGCGCCCACUCUAUGGCCCACAACUGGAUCCGAUCGCCGGGUUUGGGGGAGGCCCUUGCUCUGCUAUGGUCCGCCCGUUCCCCUCACGGGCCAAAGAAUGGGUUCCUUCACAGGCUUCAGAGCCUUUUCUUGUCCGUCGCCCUGGGCUGGCGGGGAACUCCGUCCUUCCUGGCUUCUCCCUUCUGCCUCCUCGUGGGCGGAAGCGGGUAGAGGGAUGUGCAAGGUCCAGCUGCCCAACACGUCUUACUUUUCUUCCUCCCGCCCUUUCUCAAGCUCUCAGAGCUUGCCCCGCGCUCCCCUCCUGCCGCCCUCUCAGUCUCUUGCACCUCUACAUCAGUGUCCCCUCUCUCCUUCUCUCUGAGCUCCCCUCCUCCUAUUCCCCGGACCCCCCCCCCCUCCAGACACUUAGCUCCUCAUUGCCCAUUUGUCUGCUCCUCCCUUCCUCUUCCCCAUGAACUCUUCAUCACCCGCCCUGUGUGCAAUACGGAGAGAGAGCCUGUAAGUGAAACAAUCAUAAUGCCCUGUUGACCCUCUGGUGACACAUCUUUACAAGCCUGCCCCCCUGAUGGGGUUCGUCCAACUUUGCACGAUGUUGCUAUUUCCCGGGCCCCCUUCCUAUAUCCCCAACCAGUGCCUGAAGCAGGACAUGAAACAGGGGGCUUGAGCUGGGAAGGGCAGUUUCCUCAGCCCAGUAUGGGGCUGUCUUCUGGCUCUAACCAGGCUUCCUUCUAGUGCAACUGGAACCCCUGCCUCCAGAUAUUUCUGGACAUCCCUCCCUUCCUCUGGUUCCUUUAUGGGUUUUUUUUUUUUUUUUUUUGGACUUUAGCAGUUUUCUAUUUCAAUGCAAGUAGUAACAGCUGCAAUUGCACAGCGCUGUCUUCUACACUGGAUCCUCACAUCUACCACCGAGGGAGGAAACAGGCUCAGAAAGAUCAAAGUGACUUCCAAGUCAUUCAGAGCAGCUGGGAGCCUGGCAGGGACUGGAGUUCAGGUCUGUCCCAAGCCAGAGCAUGCCUCAGAACCUCACUCGUUGUGGCGGUGACUGUUUGAACUUCUUGUUGGACGAUGGACAGUUGCUAGGGAUUUGUUGACAGUAAGCACAGGGGUCGCUGGGGAUGGAAUCAGAGACGUGGGCAGAGGAGGGCGCCAGGAGGUGGAAGAAGGUGGGCGCAGAGGACAGCCGCUGCUCCAUCACUUCCCCCAGUUCCGGUUUUGCUGUUGUGCUUGUCUGCCUUCAGCGCCUGGCCAUGCUGCCACCCUCCCUGUCACUUCAGCCGUGGCUGUAUUACAAUAAAAAGGACCCUUAGCCCA